Myotis brandtii (Brandt's bat) is the source of this 334-nucleotide long non-coding RNA. RefSeq lists it as uncharacterized. The record is from RefSeq and is a predicted model, not a curated record. Lineage: Eukaryota; Metazoa; Chordata; Mammalia; Chiroptera; Vespertilionidae. The transcript is spliced from 2 exons.
CUUAUUUUCAGAUUUUCGAAGAUCUAAGGAAGGGCCAUGUCUCGGAUAUAUUUGAUGACAAAGAAAAAAUUCUCCUACAGAAAUUAGUUGCAACUGACCCCAAGAUGCGACCUAAAACAUCUGAAAUACUGAAGACUUUGAAGGAGUGGAAUAAUGUUCCAAAGAAAAAAAGGCGAAACACAUAUUAGUGCCUUUCUAAAAAAGUAGUCUGCUUCUGAUGUUUGAUUUUCCUGUAAUUGUCUAAAAUCUGCUGGGGAAUAUUGAUGAUAUUUACCUGUUAUUUUCAUUUUUCCCUUAAUUUUUUAAUACAUUAGCAUAAAGGUUUACACCUUUU